Molecule: ribosomal RNA, 253 nt
Filed under: uncultured bacterium
Lineage: Bacteria
Description: partial 16S ribosomal RNA
Rfam family: Bacterial small subunit ribosomal RNA
Source: RNAcentral
UACGUAGGGCGCAAGCGUUAUCCGGAAUUAUUGGGCGUAAAGCGCUCGUAGGCGGUUUGUUGCGUCUGCCGUGAAAGUCCGGGGCUCAACUCCGGAUCUGCGGUGGGUACGGGCAGACUAGAGUGAUGUAGGGGAGACUGGAAUUCCUGGUGUAGCGGUGAAAUGCGCAGAUAUCAGGAGGAACACCGAUGGCGAAGGCAGGUCUCUGGGCAUUAACUGACGCUGAGGAGCGAAAGCAUGGGGAGCGAACGGG